GUGUGUUGUGUUUUCCAGGACUAAUGUCGUGAUGAACUACUCUGAGAUCGAGUCAAAGGUGCGAGAGGCCACUAAUGACGAAUCCUGGGGACCUUCAGGACAGCUGAUGGGAGAGCUCGCCAGGGCUACCUUCAUGUAUGAGCAGUUUCCUGAAGUGAUGAACAUGCUCUGGAACAGAAUGCUCAAAGAAAACAAGAAGAACUGGAGAAGAGUCUACAAGUCCUUGUUGCUGUUAUCCUACCUGAUUAGAAACGGUUCAGAGCGAGUGGUGACCAGUGGCCGAGAACACCUGUACGACCUGCGCUCGAUAGAGAGCUAUCACUGCAUAGGUACACACACACCCACACACACACCUGUAC
This is a long non-coding RNA of Clupea harengus (Atlantic herring), 359 nucleotides long. RefSeq lists it as uncharacterized. The record is from RefSeq and is a predicted model, not a curated record. NCBI's taxonomy places the organism in Eukaryota, Metazoa, Chordata, Actinopteri, Clupeiformes, Clupeidae. The transcript has 3 exons.